RNAcentral lists this ribosomal RNA (497 nucleotides) under uncultured bacterium. RNAcentral's name for it is "partial 16S ribosomal RNA". It matches the Rfam family "Bacterial small subunit ribosomal RNA", at positions 28 to 507 of the family's 1533-position model. The record is from RNAcentral.
GAUAAACGCUGGCGGCGUGCAUAAUACAUGCAAGUCGAGCGAACAGAUAAGGAGCUUGCUCCUUUGACGUUCGCGGCGGACGGGUGAGUAACACGUGGGUAACCUACCUAUAAAACUGGGAUAAAUUCGGGAAACGGGAGCUGAUACCGCAUAAUAUUUCGAACCGCAUGGUACGAUCGUGUAAGAUGUUUUUGCUAUCACUUAUAGAUGAACCCGCACCUUAUUAGCUAGUGGGUGAGGUAACGGCUUAACAAGGCGACGAUACGUAUCCGACCUGAGAGGGUGAUCAGCCACACUGGAACUGAGACACGGUCCAGACUCCUACGGGAUGCAGCAGUAGGGAAUCUUCCGCGAUGGGCGGAAGCCUGACGGAGCAACGCCUCGUGAGUGAUGAAAGGCUUCGGAUCGUAAAACUCUGGUAUUAGGGAAGAACAUACGUGUAAUUAACUGUGCACGUAUAUACGGUACCCAAUCAGAUAGCCACGGGUAACUUCGUU